Molecule: long non-coding RNA, 4123 nt
Organism: Canis lupus familiaris (dog)
Lineage: Eukaryota; Metazoa; Chordata; Mammalia; Carnivora; Canidae
Exons: 3
Source: RefSeq, a predicted model, not a curated record
UGCCAGGGCUUCCCCAGGACAGCUGUGACCUCAUCUGCCAGCAGAGCAGGCCGGGGGACAUCCUGCGUGACUCAUCGGUGGGCCCCGCACCAGGGGCUUCCGGGCCCAGGAGAAACCAGACACAGAGGCCCAUUGUUUGCUCCGGAAGCCCCCCCUCUCACGCUGCAGCCUCAAAGGGGGCGUUUGUGUGUUCUUGGUUCUCUGUGGCUAGAGUCCUCUGGGGCGUGGGGGCCCCUGCGGCAGGAGGAAAGUCAGCAGCCAGGCACUCACCCUUGAACCCCAAAAGUACACCCCUGAUGUGGGACCCCCUCUUUCUCCCUCCUGGCUCCAAAAAAAGAGUGAGUGAAAAGGUUGUGGGUCAGCAGAGGAAUCAAAGGAUAUAAAAGAGCAUUUACAGGAAGCAAAAUCCAAACGACUAACAAGUUCGUGAAGAGGUUGUAAACCCUGCUAGCUAUCAAGGAAAUGCAAAUUAAAACAAUGAAGUACUAUUUCACACCCAAGAGAUUGGCAAAAAUGACCAAGACAGAUUCAAAACCCCAGGUACAAGAGUUUGACUGGUCAAGCUACCCCCUGGCUGAGGAGUGAGGAGUGGACAGUAACUUCAUCUUCUAUGGUGCGAAGUAGGCUCUCCUUUCUUGGGGGUCGUCCAGCAGAGGAAGAGCAUGGCCGUCACCUCUCAGGUAGACUCCCCCGUCUUGGCAAUGGUGACUCCUGGGGCCCAGCAUUCCCAGUGUGCAUCAGAUCCAACCAGUACGGGUUGAGGUCUCUCUGACCUGCCUCAGGAUGUCUGGAGGACUGGUCACUCUUUGGACCUGGCCUGUGCACUCUCCAUUUGUGUUGAUGACAAGCAACUGUGCCUCGUUUCAUCCCAGAACUGAGUCCCCCACCAAGCCUUAACAGACACACAGGCAUUUGUGUUCCAUACCUUGGGGUUUCUGACACUCCAUAUCUGGUACGUGGCUCAUAGACUUCAGCUUAACUGGUGUUUUGCUCCUCUAGCGAAUGUCCACCCUCAGAGUCAUCAAAUGGGGCAUUUCUUCUAUGAUUUUACAAGAUUCCCUAUAACAUUGUUUGGUUCUGCUGAACAAGGACAUGAAGAAUCCCUGGUCUAGGCUGGGCAGGGCUGGGAAUGAGGAACCCGGAGCAGCAGCCUCCCAGCUGAAAAUAGUCAGUAUCCAGAGGGACAUCUGGGAGGCCAGGAGGAUAGGCCAGAGACUGCUCUCUUGGUCCUGCAUCUAGAGGCUUCUCUCCUCUCCCGUGGCUCAGGGGAUGGGCCUGGGGAGGCGUGGGGUGCCAUCCCCGUCACAGUUCUGCUUCCAGACUCCUGCCCCGGUUGACUCAGCCUGCUUUCUCCAGCAAACUGAAUUUUGGCCCUGAACAUGGAAGAGGGUUCCUGAGCAUUCGCUUGACCUGACAACCACCCCACAACACCAUAAGGGUCUGAAGGGGAGGAGCAGAGCCCAGAGGCAGCUACCAUGAAAGCUUGAUCCUCAGAGCUGACUCAUGGGCUCAGACCCCCCAGGGCUUCUAGGCUCAGCUAACUGCCCACCUUAGGAUGAGGAAUUUGCUCCCCGAACGAGGGGGAUCAGAUUGCACAUUCCUGAGGCCUGAGUCACUCCCGGAUCUUGCCUAUUUUCGGGAAUGUGUUUGUGCUAAGGCUGGGAGGAGAGCUGAGGGCCUGGAGGGAUUGCACACUCCACAGGCAGUUCACUCCGUGUCCAGCUGGCCUGGGGCGGGGGAUGAGGGCCCUCCCCCAACAAAGACGAGAGGGACAAGGCUGUGACCUUUGGAGCCACUGAGAUGCGGUUCUGAAUGGGCCCCAGAGGACCAGAGAAGGAAGAGGUCAGACUGAGGCAAGAACCCGAGCCUUUGCUUUGUCCAGAGUUGGCUUUAAUUUGAUCCCAUGGGACAAAGAGUGGAGAGGGGCCAGUCCAAGCAGGGCUCCCUUGCCACAGCCCUGGGAAAAGGACUUGGUCCCUCCCCACCUCCUUCCAGGAAGGACAACCUCCUGGAGGGCACAGAGAGCUGAGUGAGGGUCUGGUUGCUCCUGGCUCCCCCUGAGCCAUGGCUGUGAAUCCUAGCCCCUCGCCCACCUUAGGGUGCUCCAUCCAGGGUGCUCUGUUGAGAUGCUCCUUUUCUGUCUCCAGCAUGAUCCACGCAGCUGUGGAGAGAACCCCCGCACUCCUCAGUAAAUCGGCUGCUGUCACAGAGGGCAUAUUCAGGCACACACUGUAACCAAGCCCUUUGUGUUGUGUGGCCAUGUGCCCUGGUUUGCCUGGAUUGCUGGACAAUUAUUAAUAGUACCUCUUUUCCCUCUCAAAAAUGUCCUGGUUUGGAAGAUAGGUGUAUAUUCACUCUAAUUUUAUAGAUAUUAUUUUAUUUAGUCCCCGCAAUGCCCUACAAGAGGGGCUAAGAGCCCCAUUUUAUGAUAGAGAAACCAAGGCUUACAGAAGAGAAAUAACUUGCCCAAGGUCAUACAGUUGGAAGUGGCAGAUCCGGAAACUGUUAGGAACUCAGCUCUUGACUUCAAAGCCCCUUGACUUAGCCACAACACAAAUUUCCUCUCCUUUGAUGCCUUGAAGGAGUGAGAAUCCAGUAUCUCCAAAUAGUAGAGAAAUAACAAUUAAAGUCCUGGAGUUAUCUUGGCUCUCCUCCCAGCCCCACACUUCGGCUAUCUUUGGCAUGUUGUUCCCUUUUUGAGAGACAGCGUGCACAAAUCUGAUUUGCUUGUUGGCGGUGGAGGUAUCAUAAUCAUCAGACGAACAAGCAUCGCUGUGCCUACCGUGUGCCAGGCGUUGCAUCCAAUCCUCACGCCAGCCCUGCAGGCAGGAUGUUUUGGUCCUCCUUGCACAGAAAGGAAACUCCCCAAGGUCAUACAGCUGCAAGGAGUCAGAGGGGUCAGAACGUGGAGAUCCCAGCUUUGAGCCAAGUGAACUCUGCGCAGGGUGCCAUUUCGGAAGCUCACCAAUGGAGCGCUGUGUGGGCUGCAAGGGAAUAAGGUUCCACUGCGUGUAUGGCAGAGACAAAUGGCUGAACCACUUUAUGGACCCAAAGACUCUCAAAGUCCCCAGGCAUCUUGGCUACCGAGGAGCCAGGGCUGUCUUGCCCAAGAGCACAGCAAUAAGCCCCAUGAGUUGGUCUGAGGCCCAUACACAGAUGGUCUUCAUUUGCUGAUACAUCACAUUUAAAAGGUUUCCAGACGGCGCUUUUAUUUCUUUGGUGGAGAGAUCAGACAAUGUUCAGAGCAGAGCAUGUCCACCCUGAAGGUAGAAAACAAACCGUUUCUGGAGACCAGAACUCCCUGCUCCAGUUUCUGCACCCAGAGACCAGCACACUGUGAGAGCCUCUUCCCGCCCCAACACCCUGGUCCCUGGGGGAGAGAGAUAUAAAAGCAAGCACAUUCCAGAUGGUCCAGGGAAAAGGGGAUUUGGGAAAAGGAUGUUUGUUCAAAAUUUACCAAAAAUAGAUAACCAAGGGGAGGAAGAGUCCACCUCUUGACCCAUUUAAAAAGCUAUUUCCCAGGAAAGACUUUCUAAGUAGUGGACAGUCACAAGAGGAAAAACCAGUGGCUUUGACAAUGUAAAAAUAUAAACAUUGGGAGGUUAAAAGCCAUCAAAAAACAAAAAUAAAAGGAAACAGCACACUAGUAAAACACAUAUGCCACAAAUGUCACAAUGGCAAUGUAGAGAGAGCUCAUAGAGUGAUUUGCUGGUAUUUCCAGGAACUGGUGCAGACCCAUGACACUGGUCCUCUUGGACCUCAGCUGGUGGUGGCAUAUAAGUCAGGGACAACCCUUCUAGAAAUAUUUUGGCAGAAUCAAGGAUGUUUAACUAGACAACAUAAAUGUCUUGGAAUUUUCUCUGUGGAAAUAAUUAGAAAUUCAAACAAGAAAUUAUGGGCAAAGAUGAUCCAUAAUGGGAAUGUGGAGUAGCAAAAAACUCAGAAGCCUAAGAUAUUCCAAAAUAGGUGAAAAAUUAAAUAUAUUACACUCCAGCUAUAUGAUUACGCGGCCCUUUAAAAUGGUAUUUUUGAAGAAUGUUCAUGCAGAGCAAAAAGAACUAUAAAAUGUUAUUGAACAGGGGGAAUCCCUGGGUGGCGCAGCAGUUUGGCGCCUGCCUUUGGC